CCGUUCCCAUGCCGAACACGGAAGUUAAGCUCUUCAGCGCCGAUGGUAGUUGGGGGCUUCCCCCUGUGAGAGUAGGACGCCGCCAAGC
RNAcentral lists this ribosomal RNA (88 nucleotides) under Bacillus paralicheniformis. Lineage: Bacteria; Bacillati; Bacillota; Bacilli; Caryophanales; Bacillaceae. RNAcentral also lists the same sequence under 2 other names. The record is from RNAcentral.